CGCGUGUCCGAGGGGUGUCCCAUGUGGGGCUGAGAUGGCGCGAGCCGAACCCUUUGAACCUGAUCCGGGUCAUGCCGGCGAAGGGACGGAAAGGGUGCCGCCG
This 103-nucleotide non-coding RNA is filed under the name Aureimonas sp. AU20. RNAcentral's name for it is "TPP riboswitch aptamer (THI element)". It matches the Rfam family "TPP riboswitch aptamer (THI element)". From Rfam's summary of the family: Vitamin B(1) in its active form thiamin pyrophosphate (TPP) is an essential coenzyme that is synthesised by coupling of pyrimidine and thiazole moieties in bacteria. The previously detected thiamin-regulatory element, thi box was extended, resulting in a new, highly conserved RNA secondary structure, the THI element, which is widely distributed in eubacteria and also occurs in some archaea. The record is from Rfam by way of RNAcentral. Lineage: Bacteria; Pseudomonadati; Pseudomonadota; Alphaproteobacteria; Hyphomicrobiales; Aurantimonadaceae. RNAcentral also lists the same sequence under 1 other name.